CAUCAUCAAUUUUUUUGUACAAAAUUAAAGAAAAAUUUAGUAUGGCAUGUUGGUGGGGCCAAAUUCAACUAUUAUAUAUAUUUUAAGUCAAAACUCUCUCUCUUUCUCUCCAGCUCCCCCAGUUCAGCUCUCAGCUGGUCCCGGACAGUCCCCGACUUCCCCUCGACUAAAAAAAAAUCCUAGCACGCCUCUCCAACCAAGGAUAAAAAGAAAAAAACCCUAGCUCCUAGCUACACACACACACCCGCAGCUCUCUUUCUUUCCUCUCAGCCGCAACUCUCCCUACCUUCCUCUCAGCUGGCCCCAAGUCCCUCAGCUCCUUCGGAUUGCUCCCUGCUCAGGGACACACUUAGGAACCCUCACCUGGGACCAAGAAAAAAACCACCAGUUCGAUUCCUCUCGGCCUGCUCACUCCCACAGCACAGGUACGGGACCAUUAAAACUCCUCCCAAGCUCCCACUGGUCCGAAGGCCCUCAGUCACCCUCACCUCAGCUCCUCUCGAGGACCCCGCGGACACUCCAGCUUCCAGACACCUUCAACUCACGGGCUUCACCUCAGCUUGCCUUCCUUAGCUCGAGCGAAACUCAUCUCCUCUACUCCCUCAGCUCACAACCACCCGAGGGAGAAGUCCAUUGACCGCCUCCAACACUCCUUAAGCUUGGCAACCCGUGACCCCAUCUCUGCUUCCGUUUGGUCCAGCAACCUCUCAAGGGUUUUGGCCAUUGCAACUCUGUUUCAAGCCUUGCGCAGGGGCCUUCGGUGCUCGAAACUCUCGGGCGUGCCUCCCCCGUCCACUCGAGCCACCUGAGUCGGUCAACUCUCUUCUUGGGCGUUCUUCCCUCAAGUCGGGUCUGCCAAACCGAACUGGGUACCCGACCCUCUACCAUCCGACCCGACCUCCAAAUUUUCAUUUCCCUGAGGCUAGGUAUGAUACUUGACCUUAGUAUCAUGAUUAGGGCCUCAUUUCCCUAUUAAGUUUUAUUUAAAUGAUGUAAUGUGAAGUAAACGUUCGUGAGUUAAACCAAAAACCCGGUUUUAUGAACUUUUCAAGUUGUUUCAAUUCAGUCCUUACGGCUAUUUUCAAUUUUUCGGUCAGCCCUAAAUUUUCGAAUUUGUUUCAAUCAAGUCCUGGGCCACUUUUAACACUUUUCAGUUCAACCACAGAAUUUUCAGACGAUUUAAACCAGACGGAAAUAUUUUAAAUUUGUUUCAGUUCAGUCCCUGUGACAUUUUUCACUUUUUCAGAUCAGUCGCGAACUUUAAUAUUUGUUUCAAUCAAGCCCCGGGCCAUUUUCAACAUUUUCAGUUCAGCCAUAGAAAUUUCUGAUGAUUUUAACCGGUCCAGAAAACUUUUAAAUUUAUUUCAGUUCAGUCCCUGUGACAUUUUUUCGCUUUUUUUAGAUCAGCCCCAAACUUUCAAAUCUGUUUCAAUCAGGUCCCAUGCCAUUUUUAAUUCCCAGUCAGCCACAGAACUUUUCAAACGUUCCAGAGUAGUCCCGGGAACUUUUCAAGUUGUCUCAAAUCAAUCCCCGGAAUUUUUAGCCGAAUUUCCAAAUUAGUCUCUGUUCUUUCAAAAUUAUUUUAAUUUGAUUCUUGAGCAAUUUAUGAGAUGUGUGUUAUGAUCAUGAGUGAUAUAUGAUCAUAUGCGACCGUAUUUCAUGUUUGGUUUUGAUUGGAUGAUAAAUUAUAAGUUAAAUGCGUUAGAUUUAAAUAAAUCGCUUCAUAGACCCAUAGUUUCUAAGGCAAAGAAUAUAUCAAAACGGUUUAAUUAAUCACUUGGAAUUAAAACCGACGAAUUAAUUUUAUUGUGAUCAUUUUGCCAAUAUUUGUGUGCUUGGAAUGUUUGAAUGUGUCUUUGAUUAAAAUUUUACAUGAAUCGGUUUAAUCAUGUAAAGUUGAUUAAAAAGUGGAUUUAACCCCAAGACGUUCAGGAAUUAGAGUUUUCUAGGGGCGGUCCACCAAUGACCGUCCCGGCAACUCGAAACCCAGAAACUAAAGCGUUUGGAAAAUUUUUAAUUAACUUAAAAUUUCACAUACGGGGCAAUCAUGACGUUAAACUUGGCUAAAACGAAUCACUCGAUUCUUUAAAAUGAAUUGCACGAACCGGUCAAUAAUCUGUAAUCGCGUCGAUAGUUCAAAAACUGUUGGCCAUGCCCCUUUUUAAAAUCCACAAUUUCAAAAAUACCGAGAUACGUGUCACGCGUAGCAUGGAUAUCCAGGGAGUACUCGUAUAUCUUGACUUAAGUCUAAGCCUAAUUUGAGGCGGCUCAAAUCAAGGUACACAAGUCCUUUUUGGACCACUUCCGGGCGGAGAGACCGGUCUCUCGGCUCUUUCGGGGUCUUCACAACCCCGAUGGAUCCAAGGGAUUGGUCUACACCGGCUAUUGACUUUCGAUAGUCCGUGUCACGUAAUCUUGAUUUUUCAUACACACACAUAUUUUUCAGUUCAAGGGCAUGACUACCGGUUCUUGACCCGCCAACACCCUAGCGGUGUUUCGUGCUUCCAUUUCCCUAAGUUUGUGUUUAGAACGGGUUAAAAUACGAAAAAUAGAUUAAUCUCAAACUCGGUUUAACCAAACAUGGACAAAUAGUCAAGCAAAGGGCUAGGUUUCGGAUUUUAGGUGAAAACACUCUUAAUCUAUAAAAGCCACAUUGUCACGAUAUAGAAUAAUUUAAAAACAACCCACACAUUUGAGACUUGAUUACAGACAUCGUGCUUGUCGGGUCUACUAAAAUAACGCCGAAUGCUAUAUGCCCUCUCCAUCACCGCUUUUGUCUGUUUUAAGGUAGGAUUUACAUGUUAAGAUAUCCCGGUUAAUAAUCGGUUAACUUACGUAAAUUCGGUAAUAACAAAACCCAAUUGUUUGUUUA
Punica granatum (pomegranate) is the source of this 2872-nucleotide non-coding RNA. The record is from RefSeq and is a predicted model, not a curated record. NCBI's taxonomy places the organism in Eukaryota, Viridiplantae, Streptophyta, Magnoliopsida, Myrtales, Lythraceae.